This is a non-coding RNA of Phrynosoma platyrhinos (Desert horned lizard), 73 nucleotides long. The record is from the annotation of a GenBank genome assembly. NCBI's taxonomy places the organism in Eukaryota, Metazoa, Chordata, Lepidosauria, Squamata, Phrynosomatidae.
GUCCCAGUGGCGCAGUGCAUUGAGUGCUGGACUGUGGCUCUUGAGGGCCAGGGUUCGAGUCCCAGCUCGGCCA